This 143-nucleotide microRNA precursor is filed under the name Canis lupus familiaris (dog). RNAcentral describes it as "miRNA (ENSCAFG00845026854.1)". Lineage: Eukaryota; Metazoa; Chordata; Mammalia; Carnivora; Canidae. The record is from RNAcentral.
GAUCUGCACAGCUCAGGGCCGCCGGGUGGCAGGAGUAUUCUUGCUGUCCUGUGCCCUCCUGGCUUCUGCCUAUUCGGGGGUGAGCGCCGGAUCUUGGGCUGUGUCCCCGGUGCCCUGUGCUCCCGGGCCUGCGCUCUUGGAAU